UACGUAGGGUGCUAGCGUUGUCCGGAUUUAUUGGGCGUAAAGAGCUCGUAGGCGGUCUGUCACGUCGGCUGUGAAAACCCGAGGCUCAACCUCGGGCCUGCAGUCGAUACGGGCAGACUAGAGUUCGGUAGGGGAGACUGGAAUUCCUGGUGUAGCGGUGAAAUGCGCAGAUAUCAGGAGGAACACCGGUGGCGAAGGCGGGUCUCUGGGCCGAAACUGACGCUGAGGAGCGAAAGCGUGGGGAGCGAACAGG
RNAcentral lists this ribosomal RNA (253 nucleotides) under uncultured bacterium. RNAcentral describes it as "partial 16S ribosomal RNA". It matches the Rfam family "Bacterial small subunit ribosomal RNA", at positions 524 to 776 of the family's 1533-position model. The record is from RNAcentral.